Molecule: long non-coding RNA, 142 nt
Filed under: dengue virus type 2
Lineage: Riboviria; Orthornavirae; Kitrinoviricota; Flasuviricetes; Amarillovirales; Flaviviridae
Description: Dengue virus type 2 partial sfRNA1
Source: RNAcentral
CAGAAGUCAGGUCGGAUUAAGCCAUAGUACGGAAAAAACUAUGCUACCUGUGAGCCCCGUCCAAGGACGUAAAAAGAAGUCAGGCCACUACAAGUGCCAUAGCUUGAGUAAACUAUGCAGCCUGUAGCUCCACCUGAGGAGA